RNAcentral lists this ribosomal RNA (102 nucleotides) under Listeria monocytogenes. RNAcentral's name for it is "partial 16S ribosomal RNA". It matches the Rfam family "Bacterial small subunit ribosomal RNA", at positions 1 to 96 of the family's 1533-position model. Lineage: Bacteria; Bacillati; Bacillota; Bacilli; Caryophanales; Listeriaceae. The record is from RNAcentral.
UUUUAAAGAGAGUUUGAUCCUGGCUCAGGACGAACGCUGGCGGCGUGCCUAAUACAUGCAAGUCGAACGAACGGAGGAAGAGCUUGCUCUUCCAAAGUUAGU